This 273-nucleotide ribosomal RNA is filed under the name uncultured Staphylococcus sp. Its description in RNAcentral is "partial 16S ribosomal RNA". It matches the Rfam family "Bacterial small subunit ribosomal RNA", at positions 89 to 354 of the family's 1533-position model. The record is from RNAcentral. Lineage: Bacteria; Bacillati; Bacillota; Bacilli; Caryophanales; Staphylococcaceae.
ACGUUAGCGGCGGACGGGUGAGUAACACGUGGGUAACCUACCUAUAAGACUGGGAUAACUUCGGGAAACCGGAGCUAAUACCGGAUAAUAUUUAGAACCGCAUGGUUCGAUAGUGAAAGAUGGUUUUGCUAUCACUUAUAGAUGGACCCGCGCCGUAUUAGCUAGUUGGUAAGGUAACGGCUUACCAAGGCGACGAUACGUAGCCGACCUGAGAGGGUGAUCGGCCACACUGGAACUGAGACACGGUCCAGACUCCUACGGGAGGCAGCAGAC